UAAAAUAUAUAAUAGAAACACAUAGAACAACAAUACUAAUCAAAACAGGGAAACGAAUAAUUUCAAUAAGAAUUUGAGAAUAAUAUUUUUUUUCUAAUAUUAGGAUUUGUGAAUUUGACUCAGUGGAAAGAGUUAUUACCUAUCUCUACUUGGCCCCAUUAUUUCUCCAGCUUCGGUGCAAUGAAAACAACUUACAUGAGCUGUCAAGGCUUAUCUUUCAGAUAACUCCUAAAUACUUCAGCACAGAAGGUAAAACAUGGAAAUCUAAGCUCCUACAUCACAUAUACUCUAAAAGAUAAGGCUAAGAAUCAAAAAUUUUCCCUCUGAAGAAGAUAUGAUGUGUAC
Long non-coding RNA from Vidua chalybeata, 345 nucleotides. RefSeq lists it as uncharacterized. The record is from RefSeq and is a predicted model, not a curated record. Lineage: Eukaryota; Metazoa; Chordata; Aves; Passeriformes; Viduidae. The transcript is spliced from 3 exons.